Molecule: ribosomal RNA, 404 nt
Filed under: uncultured bacterium
Lineage: Bacteria
Also listed under: 1 other name
Description: bacterial SSU rRNA
Rfam family: Bacterial small subunit ribosomal RNA
Source: RNAcentral
UGGGGAAUAUUGCACAAUGGGGGAAACCCUGAUGCAGCAACGCCGCGUGAAGGAUGAAGGUUUUCGGAUUGUAAACUUCUUUAGUCAGGGACGAAUAAAUGACGGUACCUGAAGAAUAAGCCACGGCUAACUACGUGCCAGCAGCCGCGGUAAUACGUAGGUGGCGAGCGUUGUCCGGAAUUACUGGGUGUAAAGGGCGUGUAGGCGGGAAUGUAAGUCAGAUGUGAAAUCCCAGGGCUUAACCCUGGAGCUGCAUCUGAAACUAUGUUUCUUGAGUGUCGGAGAGGAAAGCGGAAUUCCUAGUGUAGCGGUGAAAUGCGUAGAUAUUAGGAGGAACACCAGUGGCGAAGGCGGCUUUCUGGACGAUAACUGACGCUGAGGCGCGAAAGCGUGGGGAGCAAACA